RNAcentral lists this ribosomal RNA (307 nucleotides) under uncultured bacterium. RNAcentral describes it as "partial 16S ribosomal RNA". It matches the Rfam family "Bacterial small subunit ribosomal RNA", at positions 506 to 807 of the family's 1533-position model. The record is from RNAcentral.
AGACAGCAGCAGCCGCGGUAAUACAGAGGGUGCGAGCGUUAAUUGGAUUUACUGGGCGUAAAGCGUGCGUAGGCGGCUUUUUAAGUCGGAUGUGAAAUCCCUGAGCUUAACUUAGGAAUUGCAUUCGAUACUGGGAAGCUAGAGUAUGGGAGAGGAUGGUAGAAUUCCAGGUGUAGCGGUGAAAUGCGUAGAGAUCUGGAGGAAUACCGAUGGCGAAGGCAGCCAUCUGGCCUAAUACUGACGCUGAGGUACGAAAGCAUGGGGAGCAAACAGGAUUAGAUACCCGGGUAGUCCCUGUCUCUUAUAC